GGGGUCGAGCCUGGGCCGAACGGGCGGCGGCGCGCACUCUGCGUAGGCCUCUGCGCCUCGGGCGAGCGGGUGAGAGAGGCCGCGGCGGCUAGCGCGGGGAUGUCGAGGAGCUCGAAGGUGGUGUUGGGCCUCUCGGUGCUGCUGACGGCGGCCACAGUGGCCGGCGUACAUGUGAAGCAGCAGUGGGACCGGCAGAGGCUUCGUGACGGAGUUAUCAGAGACAUUGAGAGGCAAAUUCGGAAAAAAGAAAACAUUCGUCUUUUGGGAGAACAGAUUAUUUUGACUGAGCAACUUGAAGCAGAAAGAGAGAAGACGUUAUUGGCAAAAGGAUCUCAAAAAUCAUGACUUGAAUGUGAAGUAUCUAUUGGACAGACAACACGAGUUUGUAUGUGUGUUGAUGGAGAGUAGCUUAGUAGUAUCUUCAUAUUUUUUCUGGUCACUGUCCUUUUACACUUAAUCAAAUAAAGGACAGUGGAUCAUCUGUUGUAAAUUACUGCUUUCAGGGUCCCUUAUAUCUGAAUGAAGGAGUGUGGGCAGACACUCUUUGGAAGAGUCUCUGUCUGUGUGAUCCUGGUAGAAGCCCUGUUAAAGUCACUGUCCAGAGCUUAGGAUUGUUACUGUGAACCACUGCUGAGCUUGUGAGAAGGAAGGGAUGGAUAGUAGCAUCCACCUGAGUAGUCUGAUCAGUCGGCAUGAUGACGAAGCCACGAGAACAUCGACCUCAGAAGGACUGGAGGAAGGUGAAGUGGAGGGAGAGACGCUCCUGAUUGUCGAAUCCGAGGACCAGGCAUCCGUGGACUUAUCGCAUGACCAGAGUGGGGAUUCCCUCAACAGCGAUGAAGGAGACGUGUCGUGGAUGGAGGAGCAGCUGUCCUACUUCUGUGACAAGUGCCAAAAAUGGAUACCAGCCAGUCAGCUGAGGGAACAGCUCAGUUACCUUAAGGGUGAUAAUUUUUUUAGGUUUACUUGUUCGGAUUGCUCAGCAGAUGGCAAGGAGCAGUAUGAAAGGCUGAAGCUGACAUGGCAGCAAGUCGUCAUGUUGGCAAUGUACAACUUGUCUCUAGAAGGAAGUGGACGUCAAGGUUAUUUCAGGUGGAAAGAAGAUAUCUGUGCUUUUAUUGAGAAACAUUGGACUUUUUUACUAGGGAACAGG
Molecule: non-coding RNA, 1153 nt
Organism: Macaca mulatta (Rhesus monkey)
Lineage: Eukaryota; Metazoa; Chordata; Mammalia; Primates; Cercopithecidae
Source: RefSeq, a predicted model, not a curated record